This 429-nucleotide ribosomal RNA is filed under the name bacterium. RNAcentral's name for it is "partial 16S ribosomal RNA". It matches the Rfam family "Bacterial small subunit ribosomal RNA", at positions 355 to 776 of the family's 1533-position model. The record is from RNAcentral.
UAGGGAAUCUUCGGCAAUGGGGGCAACCCUGACCGAGCAACGCCGCGUGAGUGAAGAAGGUUUUCGGAUCGUAAAGCUCUGUUGUAAGAGAAGAACGUGUGUGAGAGUGGAAAGUUCACACAGUGACGGUAACUUACCAGAAAGGGACGGCUAACUACGUGCCAGCAGCCGCGGUAAUACGUAGGUCCCGAGCGUUGUCCGGAUUUAUUGGGCGUAAAGCGAGCGCAGGCGGUUUAAUAAGUCUGAAGUUAAAGGCAGUGGCUUAACCAUUGUUCGCUUUGGAAACUGUUAAACUUGAGUGCAGAAGGGGAGAGUGGAAUUCCCUGUGUAGCGGUGAAAUGCGUAGAUAUAUGGAGGAACACCGGUGGCGAAAGCGGCUCUCUGGUCUGUAACUGACGCUGAGGCUCGAAAGCGUGGGGAGCAAACAGG